RNAcentral lists this long non-coding RNA (20646 nucleotides) under Musa acuminata (dwarf banana). RNAcentral describes it as "long non-coding RNA (MACU_LNC002215)". The record is from RNAcentral. Lineage: Eukaryota; Viridiplantae; Streptophyta; Magnoliopsida; Zingiberales; Musaceae.
ACAUUCUGCACUCUUAUGAACCAAUUAUUCAAAGAGUAUUUGGAUAAGUUUGUGGUCGUCUACUUGGGACGAUAUUGUCGUCUACAGCGAAACGCUCGAGGAGCAUGUCAAGCACUUUUGGUACACAUCUGAAGCCAAUAUGUAUGCAUUGGUUUGGUGUAUCUUAACUUUUGGUGCACAUCUGAAGCCAAUAUGUAUGCAUUGGUUUGGUGUAUCUUAAUUUUCCACUGAGAUUUUUAUUGUCAAGUUAAAUUUUCGUGCGCAUGUGAUGAUAUUAGUUUAGUGGCACUAAGUUGCACUUUAAUCUGUUCUUCAGGCUGUACAUAAAGCAGCCUUCUUCCAGCACAUCAAUUGCAGGAUAUGAUGAUGAACCUGAAUGGGCGAAGUAUAAGAUCAAAGAGACAAAUAUGUUUACCAUCGACAAGUAUCAACAGGUGCUAUUUUAUUAUCUAGAUGGAGUUUGCCUCUUAAUAGCAGGUGAAGUAAUAAUAUUAGUGAAUUUGCAGAUUGGAUUCUUCCCAAGAGAGAAAGCAUUUUCUCUUAGGUACCAAACUGCUGGUAUGCUGGAAACUGUUCUAAGAGCAGGUGUGCUUGGAGAAGAUGACACUGGUGAAGAAUCUCCCAAGUAAUUUCCUCUUGUACAGAGUUUUGCUCUCUUAGACUAGAUUUUGCAAUUUGAGGUUUCAUGUCAAUUGAAUCUUCUCUUUUGUAUGUGGAUGUUUGCAUGGUAAACACUCUCGCAAGCAUCGUCUAAAUCAAAACUCUUUAAUUUGUUCACUUUGGGUACUUGGAAUUUCUCUAUAUGAUAACACUGGUUUCUGUUUUUUCAUAAGAAAUGACAGAUUUAUCUCUGAACGAGGCGAUAAGAAUCGCAUGGCAGUGAUAUUCCAAACUUACUCACGAAUUCCAUUCUCAAUUAUAUUGGCAUAGAGUUUAUAGUCUCAAAGGUCUUCUUCAGCUGCUAGUGCAUGAUGGGACUGGAAGAUAUUGAUGGUCAUAUCUUUCAUGUUUGCAGAAACUUGAAGAUUCCUUCAAAAUGGCCUUCUGUUGUCUGUGAAAAUUGUCUAUAUUCUCUGGAGAACAAGAGCUUUCCACAUAAUGGAUCCAAAGGGCAUUCUUGAAAUGCUUGUUAUUUUUAUUGAAGAACAAGGAAAUGAGAUGCCUGCUUUUUCAACUUGGAAUUCAGAGGUCAGUGUAUGCCGCCACCUUUUUGCUAAAAAAAAUACCAUUACAUCUUGUGACAAUUAUAAUGCUUAUAUCACUAAACAUUUAUGUUGUACGUUUAGUUCCUAGCAACAGUGGACGGCAUUGAGAAUGAAACUAUCUCGAACAACAUCGUUCGAUACAUCAUUCCAGUGGGUUAUCUCCCUUUUAUCUAGAUUUUUAACAUGAUAACUUACAGGACUUCCCAGAUCGAAUAGCUCCAUGGCUUGGUCGAUGGGAAGGUCAUUCUAUGACAAAACAUAGUGGUGUAUAUGGAGCAACGAUUGCAAUAAAGGUCGUUUAAUUCAGGUGCGCUUGUCUGAAUGCCAACUAUUGCAUCCUACAAAAUUGUAAAUGUUGGAUUCUAUUUCCUGUCAUAUUAAGGUAGACAUGUACUUACUCGAUAAGAGGAAGCACAACAUAGUGUUAAAAGCUCUAAUUUUCUUUUCUGAUGUUUCAGCAAGAGCAAUCUUUGACACCAUAUCAUAGUUACCUUUAGAUUUUUACCAGUUAUCAUAUCAUCUCUGAGCCUUGCGCAUGUUUCCUAAGAAUGUUGUAUAUCCUUCAAAACUGACUCAACUUUGGUGAAAUUUAAUCCAGAUUCAGACUGCAGAAUAUGUCAGCCUGUCUAAUGAUAUUCUACUUUUCGUAAAAUGAGUACAUAAUUUCUUGUUUGUUGCAAAUUACAAACUUCCUCUGUAUGUAAGAUUCAUAUCAAGUGUUACUUUUGUGACAAUUUGCACCAUCAAAUACAAAGACUAUUGCUAUUAGAUAAUGAAGAUUAGUUCUCUUCGGUGGAUACUAACUGAUCUAGUUCCUCCAGGACACAACUUCGACAAACAAUGAGAGUGGCACUGCAGGCACGAUAAGCAACAACUUGGUGGUGCCCUUUGAUGGAGGCUUCCAGCUGACCUUAUUACCUGGAGGAAUGUAUAUGGGAUGCCCGUGUGACAUUGGGAAGAAUGUAGUCCAAUCACAAUCAUUCCAUCUCGAAUUAUGUUGGAUGGAAUCACCGGAGAAGCGGCAGAAGCUCGUGCCAACUUACGAUGUGGAAGGCCUUGUAGUGUCAUCUACUUAUUUCUAUGAGAUCAAAGUCUUAAGGUCAACUUGCAUGGACCAUGCUGCAGCUUAUCCUUGGUUACACUGGAUAGAUUCCAGUUAAACUAGAACACUCAAGGCCUUGUAUCAACUGAAUAGUUGAAUAGAGAGAAUAAAUACUCUUCUUGAGUAAUAUUUAUGAUAUUUUAUUAGUAUCAACUAAAAGGAUUGGGUGAAGACGUAGCUUAGUUUUCUUACAAUUUACAAUUUGCAAUGGAGCAACAAAAUCCCUUUUAAAUUACGUAGAAGAUAAUCAAUUAUUUUAUAAUUGAUCAUGAAAAUUUUACACGAGAUUGUUAUGAAUGAUUGCUACAAGCCCAUAAUGUAACACUUUUAUCACUCACUCUUGUGAUAGCCUAAAAAUAUUGUUUUCCUUAUAUAUUUUUUCUAUAAAUGCACUUUUCAAACUAUUUUGUUAACCAUCGUUAAUUCUCAGUUAAAAUGGGACAAAAUAGCCCUUUAAGCCCAUGCCAUAAUAUGAUUUUGGUGUCAUUAGCUAGUAAAAAAAAAAAAAAGGGUCAAUCAUUUCAACACUCUAUAAUGUUGUGAGUGAUAAGGCUUGCCAAUUUAUGAAUAAAUAGUAUUCAUCUAAGUCUUUUGAAAAAUUGGGAUAUUGCUAAUAUUUAGAACUAUAAUUUUCUUUUUAAGACCAUUUCCGUUGGUUUCAGUUGUUUGUUCUGUGUCUAUCUCUCAAACAAUGAUGAUGUUUUCUCUAUCAAUCAUUCAUCCUUUUGACUAUUUUUUUCUUAUUUUACAAGUCAUUUUGAGAUAGCUAUUGUUUGGGUACGUAAUAAGUUAUAAUUCUAUUCAUAACAAAUGACAAAUAGAUUAACUCACUCCCGUGAACGCCACACCCACAUGAUUUAAUUUAUUUUCAUGUUUUAAAUUACAAAAAAAAAUUGUUCAUCAAAUAAAUCAUAUGUUUUGUACAAAGGCAAAUGCAUAUGUAAAAUCCCUUCAAACUUAAUUUUCAUUCCAAUUUUGUUUUGGCACAUAUAUAUAUAUAUAUAUUCAUAUAUAUGUAUUCAUAUAUAUAUAUAUAUAUAUAUUCAUAUAUAUAUAUAUUCAUAUAUAUAUAUAUGGUGUAUUUAAAUUUAUAAGGUCUUAGAAUAUUGUAGGGUGUAUUUAAGAUUGAAGGGCAAACAUGUCAUUUACAACUAUGAGAGUACCGAUAUGUCAACAAAGAAGCAUUGAUUACACGUUGUUGCCGAAAAUUCCUUAAUGCAUGUGAUUACCUAUUACAACCGUACUUAUCAUAUCCGUUUCCUCCGCCUUCAUCACCGGCCCAAAUUGGGUGCGUGUAUUGACUCGCCUCGAUUGAGAUUUCUCGUGUAUAAAUUGCUGCGUAGUGUGGGGGAGAAACCACGAUCAGGGUGGAUUUGUGGAGAUGGCGAUGACUGUGAUCAGUGUGGUUGUCGUCAUGUCCUUUGCUCUCAUGGCCAUGGCAGUGAUGGCACAGGGUCCAUGGGACACUGCCGACGCCACUUUCUACGGCGACAUGUCCGGCAAAGCGACCAUGGGUGAGUUCAGCUGCCUCUCCCUCUUUCUACUACUGCUCCUUUGUCGUUGUCUUCCCCUCUCAGUCCAAUGAGCAGGUCACAAGCGCUGCAUGCACGCAGAGGAGAUUUUGCUGCAGUUAAAUCGUGUUCAUGGGUAGAGAAAGAGAGAGAGAGAGAGAGAUCUGACCAUGUGUUUUGUACUGGUACAGGCGGAACUUGUGGGUAUGACAAUCUCUUCGAGCACGGAUACGGGCUGUCGAACACGGCGCUGAGCACGGUGCUGUUCAACGAUGGGGAAAAAUGCGGUGCAUGCUUCGAGUUGAAGUGCGCAGCGGGACCCGACAGGUGCAAGGAGGGGAGCACCAUCGUGACGGCGACCAGCUUCUGCCCGCCGGCACCCGUCAGCCUGUGCAACCCGCCCCAGAAGCACUUCGACCUCUCCAUGGCCAUGUACAUGAAGAUCGCCAAGACAGCCUAUUCGGGCAGCAUCCCCGUGCAGUUCCGGCGAGUACCGUGCGUCAGGGAGGGCGACAUCGGAUUCGAGUUCAGGGGGAACCCCUUCUGGAUCUCGGUGCUGGUGUACAACGUGGCCGGCUCCGGCGACGUGGCGAAGCUGUCGGUGAGGGGAUCCAACACCACCUGGGUGCCGAUGACGAGGUCGUGGGGACAGAGGUGGCAGCUCAGUUUCAGGCCAGAGAUGGUGGGACAGAGCCUUUCGUUCAAGGUGACGACAGGCGACAACAAGACGGUGGAGUCGGUCGACGUCGCUCCAGCGAACUGGCAGUUCGGACAGCGGUAUACAGGCGGCCAAUUCUGAUGAGGAAUUGGAGCAGAAAGCAAGGGAAACUAUUAGUACAUACAAUAUAAGGAAGCCACCUAACCAUGCACGGGCUUCUUCACUGGCUUUUGAAGUCAUAUCUAUUCCUGCACGCAGUUUAAUAUUUGCAUUACCUUGCUUCAGUUUCAGAGUUCCGAUCAUGCAUAUUGUAAUGAAAGCCACGGCUUUUAGUUUCAAAGAAUUCACGCGAAUUCUCUUAAGUCACGCGAACUUCCCCUUCUGUCAUCAUGCACACGGAGUCCCGAAUCGUCGAUCCAAAUGAUUCACGGCGUUAGAGGAAACUGCCACAAUGAGAACUGUCGUGAACCGAAUGAUUCACGGCGUUAGCGGAAACUGCCACAAUGAGAACUGUCGUGAGAAUAACAGGUUGUGUGUUCAGAUCAGGUUAGAUGCAGUCUCAGCAUUGGAUAGAAUACAUCUAACAUAGUCCAAAAGAAAUGGAUAGAAUAGUUCUGAGUAAUAACAAAACUGGCCACGGAUGCACAGGAAAAUUGAUUUCUCGAUAGAGAAUAUCUUAAUGGCUUAAUCUAUGCCUCGAGAUUAUUUUGGAUACGGGAGGAAUAUGACCCACAAGAGUGCAACAUUAUAGCUUACUAAAGAAUGAAUGCUUGACUUUUGGUCAAUUGAUACAAAUAUAAACAUCAUUGUUCAUCAUAAGACGACAACCAUCCUUUGCAAAACGUUAGGGCAACAUAGUUGGACCAGAUCUUAUUAACAAAAAAAAAAUCGAUACAAGCAUCGGACGGGACGGUCAUUAUUUAACUUAAGUCGGAAACCGUCAUUAUUUAACUUAAGUCGGAAACGUUACAGCACCAUUUCUGUGGAAGAAAAGCAAAAUCUUUUCAGACAUCUGAAACUUCCAUGUAGUCAUAAUCGCUAGCAGGAUAGAAAGGGCCAAGGAAGAUAACACUCUGAUGAUUGGGAAAAUAUUGAAGGACCAGCGCACAGCUAAUAACGGAGCAAAUAUGUGUGGCGCCUGAACCAGUUGUAGUCUGGAAGGCCCUGGAUUGGUCCCAUGGCUGCAAUUGCCACAUCCUGCGAAGCCAAGGCGGCACCCAGUAUAAGCUGACCCAUUCUUUGUAUGAUAACGACGCACCAAGUGUCCACAAAUACCAAAGGAAAAUAGACCCGUCCUUUUUCAUAACCUCAUUUUGAAGUGUCAUGAAAACAUACAAGGCCAAACAUGAUUUAAGAUAUACUUGAGAGUUGAAACUCUCCAAUCAGCCUUAUAAUGAAUUUAUAUCUUAAAUAUGUGAGACAGGUGAUUGCGUAACUUAACUUAAAGUGAUGCCUCAUGGUCACGCAAAUUUGGACCCUUAGCUCCCUAAAUUGCUUUUUUAUAUGAAUCUCUGGCAUGCUUAUUGUGAUUGUAAUCAUAAAGCAUCUUUUAGUAAAUGCUAAAAGUACGGCUUUACCUGAUCAAAUAUGAAGCGAUUAGCAACACGCUUAACGGUGCUUGCAUCAACUGCAUCUAUCCUCGCAAAAAGUUCAGCAACUGGGAUUCUACGGCCAUAUGUAAGUAUCUGCAAACACAAAAAAAGUAAGAAGACAUGAAGGAAAGAAAUAUAGAAACUUUGGAAGUAAAAUGACUGAACAAAAAUGCUGCCAGAGAAAGAACUAAUCAUUACCUGACGACCGAUGUCCUCAGCAACAGGGCUGGUACCAUCAAUGUGAAGUUGAAGAGAAGAUUUGAGCUGUAAAAGAUCAUCAAACAGAUGCAGCUUAUAACUUAUUAAAACAAUUCAACAAACAACAUUCCUUGCAUAAAUCCCAUUGGAGAUAUUCUUCAACAAAAAUUUGGAUGUUCCAGAAUACAUGAUACUGUAUUGCAACUUGACAAUCAACCAAAACUUGUGAAUAACUUAUCGUGAAGAAACAUCCAUGUGAUCUGAUCAAACACAUUCGAAUUAUACUGUCCAUAUGCUAUUGUUUAGUGGUUUAUCUACUCCACUUGAACAAAAGAACUUAUUAAUCUUCUUUGAGCCAUUUAAAGAACCUUGUACCCAUGUCUAAUACUCAAAAGGCAAAGGUGUUUGGACCACAGGUCAAACCUUUUACAUCUUAAGCAGCAUAUUUCUGUUAGUUCCUUCUCAACACUCUAAAUCCUGGAAAUUUCCCUCCUAACACUUGCAUUUAGAUACAAUAGGGAUGGUAGCAGAUGCCUCCCUUAGUUAGCAUUCAUAAAUGCCAAUGACAUGCAGGUGAGGCUGGCAACAAAGUUAACAAGCAGUGGCUUCAAAGUUGCCUUUAUACUCGCAACUUGCUGCACGACUGAUGCAUUCCAAGAAAGAUGUACUUCCUAGACAGAAUAAUGAUCAUGUCCCCAUUUAUUAAAGCAAUUUGACCAUCAUAUGCUUAAUACAUGAUUUUUCAGUUACCUUAGACAAUAACAAUGAAAUGUUCAUGUCUCACAAAAGAGAUAUUGUUUAUACUGUUUCAUGGAAUAAUUUUGCCCACAAGAAUUAUAUUAACUGCACUGAUAAGCUGCAGCAAGCAAUCUACAUGCCACAAAAGAUUCAAUAAUACAACUUCAUCUGAGGCAUGUACUGUCCCAAGUUUCCUCACUGAGAGUAUCUAACUGAUUUAUCAUAUUUGAUAUUUUACAGAAGAGUAUCCUGAGUUUCAACAGUGUCAUUGUACAUUAACUGAGAAAGCAUAUCUGAAUCACUUAAUUACCUGAUUUCGUGCACGGGUCACAUCAGCUUCUGAAACCCUGUAGGACAGCUUGCUUAUCUCAGACAUAAUUGCAUAGGCCAAAUCAUCCAAGCAAUCCGGCUGAUCAUGAAAAGUGAAGAAAAUGUCAGCUGUCAAGUGAGAUUUAUCUGCCACGCAGAAGGCAUGUUCCCUGUAUUAUAAGCUAGUAUACAACAGGAUCCAUAUUCCAUUUCAUUGAUGUAAUCACCAUUGAGCUAGCAAUUAAUACAAACAUUAUAAUAGAGUCUAAGUAUAUACAAGCCAAUAGCAGAGACUCAUGAAAAAGGCAGGGAAAACGGAAUGGCAUUAAAAUAUCAUGCAGUAUCUGUGAAAGAAAACAGAACCAAGGGAAUUAUGAUUUCCAAAGUUUCAUUCUGAAAGAGUGCUGCACACCAAAGGACAAUUUUAUACAUAUGUGUGUGCAUUUGUACACACCCAAAAAUAAAUGUGGAUAUCCUUUAAAUAUGCUAUCAAUUUGUUUAUUGUGUAAUGUAUCACAACAUAUUUCAUGACGUCAUGUGCAAUGCUAAUUGAUCACCUCACUUAGCAAAUGAAGCAAAACACAGCAAAGCGGAGUUAAAUAUCCUCAUUGAUUAGGUACUAUGACAGUAUUUGCAGUAGCUCCUAAUCCAUCAAAACCAUUCAUAAGCAUAAUCGCUAUGUACCUUUAGAAAUGUCAAUAUUCACAAGUUCUCUUCUUCAGAUGAAAAGAACUCAAAAUGUCAAUAAAUUCAUAACCAAUAGCUCUGAAGCAGUAAGUUUCUGCAAAUAAUCCUGUGCUAUAAUUUUCCCGAAUCACUGAGAACAAUAAAAUUUAUGACACUCUAAUAGAUUGGAUUGAGUCCAAACCAAACAAUAACAGGUGCUAAAAGAUGUCCUCUCUUGAAACCAAUCAUAUUUACUCAAUAAUCAUUAAAAAUCUCAAUAUUUCACAUAUUUCAAGUACAUAACAAAAAACUGACUAACCUUAGCAAUUGCAUAAACACCAAAGAGACCAGUGUCUUUGUAGUUUGUGUUAAAGGCCAUCAUGCUUUCGGCGAUCUCAUUGAUGGCAAUCCUCUGAGACAGCUCUGAACUGAUUAAAGUUGAGGUACACAAUCAAUACAGGGCAAAACUUGGAAAGUUAAACAAUUUCUGUGUAAAUAUAAGAUGUAACAAUGAACAACUCACCCCAUGUGCUUUCCACUGCCAGUAUUCUUGUUCCAAGAACCUAGCAUAGACUGCAUUACCAUUAAAGCAAUAGAAUCUGGAUCUAUCCAGGAUGCUCCACUAAAUGCAACCGCAAAUUGUGCAAGUGGAAUGUCAUCAUCUAUUAUCCUAACCUGGAUACAAAAAACUUUAAUUGGCAAGAAGACUCUUGUGCAAAGAUAACAUGUCUAAGAGAGAGUAAAUGGACAAACAUUAAAAAUUGGCAUUCCCACCUCAGAACCAGUAAAAAUAGCUGGUUCCUUUGCAACCAACUGGGAUGCUGUCGUAGGAUCAUUUGACAGAUUUGCGAACAGCUUUUUAACCUGGUCAACUAUAUCCUCGUGCUUAACAGCACCAGCAGCUGAGAUGACCUAAACCAUUAUAAAUAUAAAACAUUAGCCAUUUGCUGCAAUAAUUAAAGUCACACCAAUCAAGACUGGAUAGAUCAUCAAACAAGGAGGCACCUAAGUUAGGUAUGUACAGAAAACAAGAAUGAUGACUUAAUCUGGCCUAAUAAAAAACAUACCAUUCUAGGGGCAGUAUAAUGUGUUGAUAUGUAAUUCUUAAGAUGCUCUUUAGUAAUUGUCUUGAUGUUCUGAGCAGGUCCUAGUAUAGUUCUGCCAAGUGGAGUGUACUGGAAAGCAGUUGCAUGCAGAUGAUCAAAAAUAACUUCUUCAGUUUGUCCCUCCACCUACAUGAGACAGAAAGAAAUGAUAUUAAAAUAUUGCAUGAACAAAAGCUCUAUCCAGUAAAAGUCAACUAUAGUAUACUAAAGUUCUCCUGAUGUAAGUGCUUCACAUGAUGCCAAAAGCAAAAAAAUCUAGGCAAUCUAUAUUUCCAUUAAAUUACAAUUUCAUAACGCCAUAAAAGAAAUUCUAACCUAUGCGGAACUUAAAUUCCAGUAAACAGUUUCAAAACCUGGCUAUGAGAUAAUUAAAAAAAAAACUGAUCAAAGGGGUCCAAAGAAAGAAAAACAAAAAGAAAGAAACAAAUUGCAGAAAAUUCUGCAAAACAUGAAUAUUUCCCCAGUUUUGAGACUGUGGCUAGUAACACAUGCUAAUUAAGUGUUACGGAUCAAGUAAAAUAAGUUAUCUCACUGUUAACAAGGUGAAAGAAACACAUAAAUGGUUUAUAGGUAGUAUAAUUUACACCAUAUAUACCAAAUUUACAUGGGAAUGGUGUCUCACAAAGAAAACUCAAUGUUAAUUUAAUAUUCCUCAGUAAAAUCAAAGAGGGUUGCAAGGCAGAAGUAGCAAAUCAACACAACAACUACAAAAAAAGGUCCGGAGCAACAAAUGGUUACGCUCAGUCCACAGUCAGGAGAUUUUAGCUAUGAGCCAAAUGAACCAGCAUCCUGCUACAUCAGUUUUAACAACGGAAGAUUUCUAGCCUAUGUGAUGGUAACAUAAUUAGCAAACUUAUGCACAAGUGGCAUAAAAACCUAAUUAAAUUAAGAGCCAUAAAAGGUGAUAUAAGAUCAAUAAGAAUCAAAAUGCUUCAUUUCUUUGUCAACUUCUAUUAUUGACAAUAAUAGCUAUCAGAGCCUCUCUCCACUUUUCUAAAUCCAUCUGUUGUACAAAACUUCACAUGCCAGCCUGAUAGGAAUGAUGAUCCUGGUACCAUGUGAUUAGAAAUACUUAUAAGUACUGCUUUUUGAUCGGCAGCCACCAGUCCAAGAGAUUUUCAAUUGUAAGUACUGUUUUUUUAUAAGUUAUCUAAUGUCAAAGAUAAGAUUUUGUUGCCAACAAAUUAACUCAAAUUAGAACAUGAGAAAAAAGAAAUAUAAUAGAAAUUAUUGUUCUGCAUCUGUUAACGAAAUAUAAUCAUAUCUCCAACUUUAGAGAGAUUUUAGCCACCAUGAAAGACCAACCCAUGCACUUGUCCUCCUUGCCUCCCCCGACUCCCAGUGCACUUCUAUUUUCAUUUUUCUCCAAGAGUUACAAUACAAGAAAAAAUCUAAUGGCAGUACUUAAAACAAUAAACUGAUUAAGCUAGAGACAGUAAACAACCAUAGUUAGCCUAAAAUAAGAAUUGUGAGUUAUCGACGUUGGUUGGAUAUUGACGUUUUAAUACGAUCAAAAGGAGGUGAAUAUUAGAAACUAAUACCUCUUCCAUCUCCCUGAGGAUUACAUCCCUCUCCCUCUCAAUGCGCUUCUCAUCAAAACACGAGUUCUGAAGUAUGUCUGCAAGGAUUUCCAGCGCUUUGGGCACAUCCUUAUCCAACACCUUGGCGUAGUAGGUGGUCUGCUCCCUCGAUGUGUACGCAUUCAGAUGCCCGCCCAUGUUCUCAAUCUCCUCCUCCAGCUGUCGCACUGUCCGCGAUUCGGUGCCCUUGAAGAUCAUGUGCUCCAAGAAGUGCGCGGUCCCGUUGGUCUCAUCGGUCUCGAAGCGGCUCCCGGCGUCGAUCCACACGCCGACCGUGGCGGUGCGGGAGGCAAGAGUAGACUCGGUGGAGAUGCGCAGCCCGUUGGGGAGGGUGGUGACGCGGGUCUCCGGUGCGGCCAGGAUGGGGGUAUGGUCGGCAAGGGUGGGGUGGGGGGAGGCGUAGCGGAGGAAGCGGGGGUCGGGAUCAUCGAGGCGCUUGAUCUUGGAUCGGACGGCCUCGGCGAGGCGAUCGUAGUGCAUCACGGGGGGUUUGGCCAGGGAGGGAGCAUCGGCGGCGGGGUUUGCGAGGGCGGAAACUGCAGCGGUGGAGGCAAAUCGGCCGGAGACGAGGAGGGGGCGGCGAGAGAGGGUGAGAAGCUUGCGCAGCGCCAUUGCUAGGGAUUGGAUUUGGCGGAAGGGAGAAGGGGAGUGUGGAGAGGGAGGCGGGUCGAAUCGUCAAACUACGUGAGGGAGGAAGAGGAAUUAGGUCUGCACACAUGACUCUGCAGGAACCCACGUUUACACCAGGCAGUGAAGGUGGACCCCGCUAUUAUGAAAGUUUUGACGUGACGGGGUGCACGAACUUGCCAGUGAGCGUACGAAAUUAGAGAGGUAGUGGAACACCUACCCAACUGUACCAUUCCGGAGGCUUGUCAAGGGUGAUGUGGUUAGUCUUAACACUCGAUACAGGAGGGACCCACCUGCCCUGACUGACAUCGAGCGUUGUCUAAAACCUGAAGGGGUUACAUGUAACCCUUCUUGCGCACAUGUUGACUUCCGUUUCUCGCCUACCCUUUCUCCUCUCCGCUACCGCCCUCUUCUCCGUCGGCUCUCCGUCCAGAUGCCUUCGCACCACCACCGAGAAACUAAUCGAUGCUGCUGCUGCUGUUCAAUCCACUCUUCACCACCACCCCAUCUGACCACAUCUGAUCAACUCCUCCAAGCCCUGGCCAGCCACCUGCUCCUCCAAUCCCAGAAUCCUCCCACUCUUUCCGACGGUCACUGCCUUAAGCCCCAGCAACACCCACCACCACUGCAUUCCUUCUUCCAAAUUCAUCAACUUGGUGAUGAUCAUCUUCCUCCUGCUCCUCCUCAUUAUCAUCGUCAUGAACAGCAGCAGCAGCAGCAGCAGUUCUAUCAGCAUCAAGCUCAACCUCUUAUCGAAUCCCUCCUCCGCCGCAUCGCCGCCCUCGAAUCCUCUUUCCCCCAUCUCUCCUCGCCCAUUUCGUCUCCUUCUCCUCUUCCUUGUCAUGGACGACAGCGACAAGAAAGACCUUUGACCCCAUCACCGCCGUCUUCUUUUGCUUUGUCGCUUCGAGAUUUGGCGGCGCGGAGAAUCCAAGCCUCGUUCCGCCGUUUUCUUCUACGGAGAUCCCAGACACUCCGCCACCUGAAGGACCUCGCCGCCAUGAAAUCAUCAGUCGCCGCCUGUAGAUCCGCGCUCUCCGACGAGACCCACGUCGAUCCCAGAUACCUCACCGAGAAAGCCAUGGAUCUUCUCCUUCGACUGGAUGCCAUCCAGGUGAGUUUGAGGAAAGCUAACUCCUCUCCUGGAUUUCUCUUUGCUUGUUGCUUCGUUAAUGGCAUUUUUCGUGGGUUUUCUUGGCUUGCAGAGCGGCGACCCGAUGGUUCGGGAAGGGAAGCGGUCGAUCAGCAGAGAACUAGUCCGCAUGUUGGAUUUCAUCGAUAAGGUGGUAGUCAAAGGGCACCAGCUGUCUCUGGACGCGAUCGAGAUCACUGGGAAUUGCGGAAUCGAAAGAGAUUCUGUGGAGGACAUGAGAAGAGAAAUUGUAGGAACCGAGGAAGUUCCGAAGCUUGCCAAAAAAGUGAGCUUUUUGGAAGACGGGAAGAGACCAAGGUUCUCUCUUAGCGGCCUCCACCAGCUUGAGGAGGAACUCAUCGAUGCUGGCAAUCAAACUGCUCCACCGGAGAGCUUGGGCGGGGAAAUUACGAGCACCGAAUCAAGCGAUCAUCUGGGACCAGAAAGGUUUCAUGAGAUCAGCAAUGGUGACUGGAGCUCGGAAAGUUCCAUAGAGAAUGGUGGCAAAUAUGUGAAGGGGAAGCAUUUCCAGAAUCAGAAUGGAAAGUUAGGCCUCUCUGCUCCCUUGCCUCUGCAAAUGGAGCUGCGGAAAACUUAAUUCCAUCUUUGGUAAUGAAUGCAUCAAUCUUGAAGUCAAGAGAUUAGAACUGUUUGCUUCAUCCAUCUUUGGUCCUUUGCCUACUGGAAGUUGGGGUUUGGAGAAGAGCUGCUUCUGCUUGGUAUGUUUGUUCCUUCUUGUGCUAUGGUAUUGUCUUCUAAGAAUUGUUAGAAGUGUGAAGAUUAGCAUGCUUCUAAUUAUCUGAUAUCUUUGUUCCUUAUUUGCUUCUAUACUCAGAUCCAUAAUGGCUACUGUUUGGUUAGUGUGACAAUGCUUCUGUUUAGUUAGGUCCAUUUAUACUUGAUUGCUUCUUGUGAUAUUUCAAGAUAUCAUUGGUGAUGUCGCAUUAGAAUGAUUAAACAUUAGAUAACCAAAUUAUUGGGAAUUAAGUCAACAUAGACACUGGAUAUCUGAUGAUUUAAAGAAUCUGAAUUUUUAUAACUCAGGACUGACUAGAGUUCAAAUUUUGAUUGACAUCUUCAAGUACAAAACUGCAAUAAUUAUCAAUGUUCCGUGUCGAACAAAUGAAGGAAAAGAAGUUCUAGCAAGAACUUGGGAAAGCAUCAGUCAGUGAGUGAAGAUUCAAAAUACUAGAUAGAGCUGUGAAAUUGUUGGAAAUGACACUGUGCCAUCUUUAGUGUCUGGAAUCAAAUGAAACUACCAAUUUCUUUUGUUCUGAAAUGUUUUGCAGCUAUGAGAAGCAAAGUAAUGCUGUGAAAGAUUUAAAUGCCACAUGAAUCAUAUCAGAGCAUUAAAGUGAAACAAGUCCAUCUUCAGUAAUGUGAGAAAGACCAAGCACACUAUGGUAAGAACAAGAGCAUCUCCAGUUCUGACAGAUAAAUAAAUACAUGUGAUCCCAAUAGUUUCCAAACUUGUUGGUAAUAGGAGGGAAAAAUUAUUGUCCAACACUACUGUUUGAGCUACAUGUUCCAAAUCUGAUACUGUAAUAUGCACUUAUGAAGUGCCCAAAGGUAUCUGAGGAAAAAAUUUGCUACCAUUUCUCACACCUGCCCAAGUUUGAAUAUUAGGCUCAAGUGUGCAGGCCAAAACCCUACUGAAGCAGCAUUUCCAAAAGCUUCUCUUCACAUUAUCUGAACAGGAAAUCAUUUGUAGAUUUCUCUAUUACUUGCUAACUUUUGUAGAUUUCUUAGUAUUCUAAUCAGAAAGGAAUAACUUUGAGAAAUAUUGUAAAACAUUAGUAAUUCAGUAAUGUAUGGAAACACCCCUUUUUAUGCUGAGUCCCACAUUUUGCAUUGGUUAAUGUCAUCUUGCAUUACCACAUGGUAUGCUAAGUUGGAACUAAGUCUUUCCUUCAUUUUAACCAUCAGGAUCUUUUAUUUUAGAUGUAGCACAUCAAGAUCAAACCAGCCCAGCAUAUAUGAGACUACCUUGAGGCCAAGUCAUUUAUCUCCCAUCUCCCUUUUGUUACAGGUUUCUACAUGGUGGGAAACAAUUACAGGCAAAAAUGGUAAAAGAAAUUUGCCUAUAGGUUUCUGAUUGUGUUGGAGAAGAAAUGGAACAAAUGAUGACAUGGUGAGAAGGCAAGACAAUAAAAACAGUCUUAAGCAAAAGAAAAAUUAGGUGCACAUUUGAAUAUACUGUGAAUUAAGACAAAUAUAAAGCAAGAAAAACAUGGCCUCUUAUUUUAGAGGACAAAUAAAGAACCAGAAGAAAAUGAGAAUUAAAAGGUAAAUUGACCAAUAAACUCAAAAUAAGAAGAAAAGCUAAUCUGCAUGCUUCAAUAGGGAAUACGAUACUGCCUUCAGUAUGUAUAAGUCGAGGCAUCAUACUUUGUUUGAGCAAUUGUAUGUAUGUAUGUUUUAAAUUAAAAUAUAUAAAGAUAUAAAAUACUUAAAAUAUAUAUUUUUAUAUUCUUAUAAUUAUAAUGAGUUUUCAAAGGUUAUCAACAUCAUUUAGAGUUUUACCUAAGAUUCAAUUGAUUGUUAAUUGAUGGAAAUUAACCACAAUGAUAAAUACACAAUAUCUUAGAUUUUGUAAGAAUAUAUAUUAAACUCAAAUUUAGAGAAAAAUAUAAUAUUUUGGAGGGAUAAUACGCAUACACAAAUAAAUAAAUAAAUAUAAUUGGGCUUUGGCGGAUGGGCCGGCCCAUGAAUACUUGAUGUCUUCUUCUCCCUCUCCCUUCUCUCUCUCUUCCCACGGGUUCUACUGCGAGGGGUUGAGGUCAUUGCUAAUCCCUCGGACGCGUGGUAACUGUAGAGGGAAACGGAAGCAAGCGAUAUUGAUGGAAGGGAUAGCCUCGAUCGCUCUGCUGCCCUGCGGUUCCAUCUCCGGCCAUUUCAUCCGCUUGCCCGAUUCCGUCUGCUACGGCCUCCAUGGAAUCGGUUGGUGAAAUCGUAUCCCCGUUCCGCUGCGUAAACCCCACGCUCUCAUUUCUUCCUGCUGCAUUUAACAUCAUUUUUCCUCCGCUGCCAAGUUCUUGUUUCGAAGUAUUAUGUUUUGGGGCUGAUUACUUAGAAAUGCGUUCUUUUGAAGAACAUUAAAGGCGAAGAAAAAGAAAGAAACAUAAAGAUUACAUUUUUUUGGGAGUGAAUUCAUAACAUGAAAUCAUAAUAAGGUGAACCCAACGCCACUCUCAUCGCAAAUAAAAGGUCAUACCUUUCCAUUUCAUCCAAAGAAACAGCGCCUCGUGAAAAUUCGGCACUUACGAGCAAUUUGAAUAUCGUUCUAUUUCCAAGUUUGAGUUUUGACCACAUUGAUUUUGGGUUUAUGAUUAGUAUGAGGUUGAUGAAGUGAAAAAUGAGCACAUGAAACCUUUAUAUUCGGGUGAAUUCCCAAAAAAAGCCCCUAAGGUUGGGAACUUCUUGCAGAGUAACCCAACUUUAAAAAUUUCCCAGAUAGCAACCCUGGCCAUGUAAUUUAGUAUGCAAACCUUUUUUCCAGAAUUCGCCCUACAUAUGCUGCUUAAGUUAUGCUCAACCAAUUGUCAUUUAGUAUGUGAAAUGUCUCUUGUAUGAGAACUAGUCAGCUUAAUAAUAAUGAUCUGAAAUUUAAUUUGUGUUAUUUCUGCUGUUUAGAAUUGUCAUGCGAGAGAGAGUGCAGCAGAGGUGAAGAUUAUCGCUUGAUUAAGCUCUCAAUAAUUGACUAUGCUGUGAGAUCAGAUGCUUCUCUUUCCAUACCUUGCGACUGUAGAUAUUCUUUAUUGCAUGGAAUUUCUCUAAUGUUCUUUCCUCAUGGUACACACAACAGAGCAGGAAAGAAAAAGUGAUUGUAGUGGAAUGCAGGGGACAUGAUUGUGCUCGCUUCCAAAAUGUUGAUCAUGCCCAUGGGUAAGUGGUUGUGGUAGAGUUCUGACUUGUUUUUUAUGUAUACAUGCAUAAAUAUACUUUUUAACAGCUUAAUCUCUUAUUUUGCAGUAGUUUAAGAACUGAACUGGUUUAUUCCAUAUUCUAAACUUAUAGAGAUGUUUGUCUUCUGCUACACCAGUCUAUGUACAUUGUGUACCUCCUACCUCCUUAACGAGGUUAGAGGUGUGUAUGGUGUGGCCUUCCUAUCUUCUGUCUUCUUUUAACUAAACUUAAUUAGAGACCCAUUUAGUUUUAUUGAUUGUGUUUUGCCUAUGGAAGAGUUUUUUAGAUGUCCAUUGAUUGCCUAAUUCUGCCAUGAGUAUGCUUUGGCACCAUCAUUAGGGGGUUGGCAUCCAAAUGUCUUGCUGAAUCUUCUCUGAUGCCUUCUUGGUUUUUAGUUAUACUUUUCUAACUGACCAUAUGUUGAUGGUAAAGGACUUGGAUGGACAAUCGGAAUUUUAUAUCAUGUGAAUAGAACUUCCUCACUUGUUAUUCCACUGUUUUAUCCUCUUUCGAAGAAGACAAAUAAGCAAGAUGGAGUAUAUGUAUUAGCAAAAGUGAUCUGUGAAAUAUUUUAUCCUCCAUGGCAAGCAGAUAGGUUCUUUAAAUUUCGAGAAUUCUUUCAUUACAAUACAUGAUAGAAAAACUAUGUAAUUAAAAGGGCACUUCUUGUUGUGCUUUUCUGACUGAAUGGAAUAUCCUCUGGUGCCACAUAUACCAUAUAAUGAAGCUUUUUUGUUUCAAAUCCUUAUGAGCAGCCUUAGUGACCAAUUUUUGUGCAGCCAACAUGAAUCCCUUUUUCACAAUGUUGAAAUGCUAUUUCUUUGAUAUUUUUUCCUAUUAAUUGGGAUGCUAUAUAUAAAAAUUAGUAAAAACAGAAAGAUGUCUUUGUGAUACAUAUUCUUGAAAUUUUAUAAUAAUGAGUUCAUGAUACAUCACUGCUGCAGGUGGGAAAAUGAUGUUGUUGAUAUGAUAGAGCAGAAGCAUGGUAAACAAAAGAUAUCAGUGUCUUUCGAGUGUGAAACACUUAAGGCAGACAAUGCUGCUGAAGAGCACCUCAAGAGCUACAUGCCCAAUUUAGUUGGACUUGGUGCUGUUGGUAGGUAAUAUGACUUGAAUACUUGCUAGAAUAAUAUUAAAACUUGAACUUGCAACAACACUAAAUGUAAUUUUUUUUUUUCCAGAAAAUAAAUUGUAAAGUUGUUGAACCGAAAUGGUAUUGCAGGGAAAGUUAACUGCUAGAAACUGAAUUCACCUAAUUGCUAAAGUUCAUAUCUACUUUCUUUCCACAACUUUUUGCCCAUUUUCCAGUUAUAUGCAUGGGAGUCCAGUCCAAGUCUCUACCAUUUUGGUAGCACCCACUUUUCCUUUCUACCAAAAAUUAGUAGGAACUACAAGAUGCUCUACUAGUUUAUUUUUCCAUCCUUUUUUUAUCACCAAAAAUUAUUAUUUUUUAAUUCCAAUUUUGAAUUGGAGUACAGGAAUAUGUUAUUGUAUUUCUAAGUUUACUCAUUUUCAUCAGUUAUGCACAGUCUUCACAAUCUGAAGAGUCAAGUCACUGUCACCUUCCUUUCUAACAAGAUGUGCAAUUAAGUGAUGAAGAUGAUUUUGUAGUAGAUAUAUGUACUUCUAUUACCUACCUUCUUCUUACAAUGCGGUGAUCAAAUUGCAGUUAACGUUGGUCGGAUGAGCAUUUCUGGCCUUGAUUUCAAAGGGGAUAAAGAAUCCAGUGAGUGUGAUGAUGAAUGAUAGGCAUGUUAUACAGAUGCAUGCAACCUGGUGGAUGUGACAAGAGCAUGUUGAACUUUAAGGAGCUGGUACUGUUGGUGUUGCUGAUAUUUCUCGUCGAAACAUCAAAUCUAACAUUUUAUUUUGUUGUUCAACCCUCAAAUUUUGCUUCGUUUUCUUGCCAUUAUGUGUUGCAGCAGAUGUUCACAGAUUGGAUCUAAUUGCAGAUUUCUUAGUUUUAGAUUUGAGCAUCAGAUUCCUUCAAAUCAUAAAGUUACUAAUGUGACAUACUUUAGUAAGUUUGCCUUCAAGUUAUGAAGCUUGCUAAUUGGCAAUCUCAUGUUAUUGGUAAUUACCUAAAAACUAUAUAAUAUAAUUUUAUCAAAUAUAAUUUCUUAAUUAUCAAUCACAUCUUUAUAUUUUAUGAUCUCUUAUUUCGUGCAUUGAUGUUCAAACUUUAGUUGUAUCGUCUCGUGAUGUUACAAAGAGGAAAAUAUCGUUCGACAUCGAAAUAUUUUUAAGAUAUUAAAAAAAAUUAAAAUAAGAUUAUAAGUAGUAAAAAUAAUAAUAAAAGAUUAUUGGUCCAAGUUUGGGGAUAUAUAUGUCAUAGAAAGAAUAAGAAAUAUGUGAUGGCCCUAAAUUUUUGAACGAAGGUUAUCUUUAGAUCUUGACCGUCCAUUGGAUGAUUUUGAUCAUGAUGCUUUCGUGUGGAGAUCGCUAUGCGUCGAUCGUAAAGGAUAAGAAGAUGAUAAAGGCUGUUUUAAGUUUUUGAGGGCGCGCCUUGGCCGCGAACGCUCCCAAGAUGACCACGACCAUGGCGGAAACCCUAAUUCCCAACUGCACUCGGGGAAUUCCAUCAAAUUUCUCGAGAUUGAGACCCAUUUCUGCUACAAGGCGACAACUUCCGUCUUUCAUUUGUUACAGUCUCGAAUUCUGCGACCUAAAGGGAAGAUUUGACUACCCGAUUGGAUCAUUUCGAGCCCGGAAAUGGGUGACGCGUGCGGCGGCGACGUCUUCUUCCAUGGUCGAGGACGCGAAAGAGGAUGACGAGCCCAUGAGCAUCGGUAACUUGCGUCGUUUCAUCGAUCUCAACGUUGGGAAGUGGAACGGAUCCUUCUACGUGAGUAGAAUGAUUGCUUUGCCCUCCUACUUCUUGAACGUUUCGGUUGUUGGUUGAUGCGUUUCGGAGCUCCUCGCAUGCAGCAAUUCGAUGGUGAUGGAAACCUACUGCAAACUGUGAGUACGAAGCUCUCAGCGAGUUCCUAUGGGGAGGAUGAACUGAUCAGUCUCAUUCAAACGUGAGCUCCCUUGCCUUUAAAGUUAACUUCUUUUUUAUGAAUUUGUUGGUCUUGGACCUAAAGAAUAUAAAUUUCUUUGGAAAUGUUUAUUUCUUUGUAAGAAUUGUUUGUCUUGUGAAUGAAUGAUUUUAUUGGCAAAGUUGUUACCUCUUGAUUGAUACUGAGAGUUAUUGUAUGCUCCUCUUGUUGAGAAUGCUCUUAAUGUUCAUGGGAGGAGUUCAUGAUCUUGCAUUUCACUUUUAUUGAUUAUUGUAAGGUCUGUUCAGAAAGACAUACUAAGUUGAUUGUGCAGCCUCAGAUAAUUUUGAGAGUCAGGCUCCUUAAAUCUUAAACAAGUUGAAUAUUUCUUGGGCAUAUGAUUUCUAGGAGCCUCUAAGUAUAUGCAAUAUUGUCAAUUAGCUUUUUAAGUGAAUCACAAAAUAUACUCGUGAUAAAUAGAAAUGCGUACAAGAAGUAUUAAGGAAAAUGUGGUUGUUCUCUGAGCUAGAGAUUGGGAGCUGACCAGGGCCUCUUUUUUUCAAGUAACAACCUCCGCCACCAAGGUUCUCAAGAAAAUAAUGAUCUGCUAAGGUUAGGAGAAGAGGGGCUGGGACUGAUCCUAGCUGGCACCUCUCCAAUGCUUAAGUCAAGAUGGGAUUCAAGUAAAUGUUUAGCUGUUAAGGUAAGGAGUUGCUUUGCUUUGUUGAAAUCAAUUCAUUUAUAUAUGGUUUUUACUGACUAUGUGUCAAGGCUUAGGAUGUGACCCUUGUCCGGAUGAAAGCCAUGAUAGGAAGAUCCUAUUGUGGUUUUUGUCAGGUGUGGGUUGCCAAGUAUCACACAGAGGGUAGAUCCAAAAAGGGACCCAUCAUGUGCCCUAAUCAAGAAGUGUAUCAGUUCUUUUACUGGUUUUAUUGAAAAUAAUCCUAAUAUUCCAGCACUGUUGAUCAAUCUCUUUUGAGAUCCUAAGUCUGUUGGUUUACCAAUCAGUACUUUCUGCCCUUUUUUUUUCCUUUUAGCAACUUGAACCAAAGCACUUGAUAUCUUUACUUUUUGGUGCACAUCUGAAGCCAAUAUGUAUGCAUUGUUUUGGUGUAUCUUAAUUUUCCACUGAGAUUUUUUUAGUCAAGAUAAAUUUUCAUGUGCAUGUGAUGAUAUUAGUUUAGUGGCACUAAGUUGCACUGUAUUCUGUUUCCAGGCUGUACAUAAAGCAGCCUUCUUCCAGCACAUCAAUUGCAGGAUAUGAUGAUGAACCUGAAUGGGCGGAGUAUAAGAUCAAAGAGACAAAUAUGUUUACCGUCGACAAGUAUCAACAGG